This 679-nucleotide long non-coding RNA is filed under the name Glycine max (soybean). Its description in RNAcentral is "long non-coding RNA (GMAX_LNC002414)". Lineage: Eukaryota; Viridiplantae; Streptophyta; Magnoliopsida; Fabales; Fabaceae. The record is from RNAcentral.
UUUGUCAUUAUUUUUCAAAGUUGUUUACUUCAUCCAAUCCUCAAAAUAUUGAUCAUGUAUCUAGCCUGGUUCAAGGUCGGAUGGCUCGCGUGCUUUAAAAGAGAUUAUUCUCAAUUGGGAUUUUACAAGAGAGGAGGUUUUCCAAUCUCUUAAGCAAAUGCAUCCUACCAAAACAGGUAUUCACGGAACCCCUACUUUAUUUUACUAAACAUUUUUGGGAAGAUGCAGCAGAAGGUGCUAGAAAUCCCAAAUGAGGAUGGUGAUCCAAAGGCUGUCAAUGACAACUUGAUUGCCUUUUUUUUAUAUUAUUUGUUUACACUGAGACUUUGACUGCUUUGAUACCCAAAACGAAGAAGCCAACGCAUCUAGUGAAUUCCGGCUCAUUAAUUAGUUUAUGAAAAUGAACUGUGCUCUUCAAAUUGGUGACAAAGAUGAUAGCAAAUAAAUUGAAGAAAUUUCUUCCAUAUAUUGUCAGUGAACAAUAGGGUGCUUUUGUCAUUACUCACAAGCAAAUGACUGACAAUGUCUUAUGUCAUCAUAGAUCAUCCUUGGACUGAAAGAUGAUUAUUGUUGUGUGCAAUGGAGUUCUUGUCCUCUCCAAAUUCAGUCCUUGGUGUUUGCCGAUGCCCUAGUCAUUAGUUUUGUUCGUAAUUAGUUCUUUUUCCUGGUUUUGUUUUGU